GACGUAGGGGGCGAGCGUUGUCCGGAAUUACUGGGCGUAAAGAGCACGUAGGCGGGAAUUUAAGUCAGAUGUGAAAGACCGGGGCUCAACUCCGGGGUGGCAUUUGAAACUGAAUUUCUUGAGGGCAGGGAGAGGGGAAGCAGAAGUUCCCUGGUGUAGCGGUGAAAUGCGUAGAAAUCAGGAGGAAUACCAGUGGCGAAGGCGGCUUUCUGGACUGUCCCUGACGCUGAGGUGCGAAAAGCGUGGGGUAGCAAAAC
RNAcentral lists this ribosomal RNA (257 nucleotides) under uncultured bacterium. Its description in RNAcentral is "partial 16S ribosomal RNA". It matches the Rfam family "Bacterial small subunit ribosomal RNA", at positions 524 to 774 of the family's 1533-position model. The record is from RNAcentral.